This 610-nucleotide long non-coding RNA is filed under the name Homo sapiens (human). RNAcentral describes it as "HSALNT0274635". Lineage: Eukaryota; Metazoa; Chordata; Mammalia; Primates; Hominidae. The record is from RNAcentral.
GUUCCCACUCCGCCCCGUGCGAGUCCUUUCCCCUGGGGCUGAGACAGAGGACACCAGGCAGUGUUUGAGGAGCCCCCUUCUGUGGAUACCUCCCAGUGGUUAUGUUGGGCGAAAAGAAGGAAAAGGGUUGGGAAGAAGCCAGUCAGCUGUCCAGUGCCCUGAGGCCUGACCCCCUCCAUCCUCAGGCCCUGAGUCCUGACUGCCUCCACCCUGAGGCCCUGAGUCCUGACCAUCCUCCACCCUGAGGCCCUGAGUCCUGACCAUCCUCCACCCUGAGGCCCUGAGCCCUGACCCCCCUUCACCCUGAGGCCCUGGUCCCCGGCCUGGCUGGGCCCCCGAGCAGUGAGCAGGGCAGCAGGGCGGAGUGAGCAGCGCACCUGGAGGAGGGGCCGGAGAACGCGGAGCACACCUGAGCCCAGGCCCACGGUGGAGGAUGUCCCUCUGGGCUCUGCAGUGGGCAAGGCCAGGAGAGCUGGGAGGGACAGGUCUCUCUCUCUCCACCCCCUCAGGAGGUGAAGCCCCAGGGCCAGGCAGAGACAAGCACAAGUGCGGCUGGAGCAGCCUGAGGGUCGCCGUGGCCACAGCAGACAUCAAACCAGGGGACUCCUGC